This 253-nucleotide ribosomal RNA is filed under the name uncultured bacterium. RNAcentral's name for it is "partial 16S ribosomal RNA". It matches the Rfam family "Bacterial small subunit ribosomal RNA", at positions 524 to 776 of the family's 1533-position model. The record is from RNAcentral.
UACGGAGGGUGCAAGCGUUGUUCGGAAUCACUGGGCGUAAAGCGCGUGUAGGCGGCUACUUAAGUUUGGUGUGAAAGCCCUGGGCUCAACUCAGGAAGUGCACUGGAUACUGGGUAGCUGGAGUACCGGAGAGGAGGGUGGAAUUCCUGGUGUAGCGGUGAAAUGCGUAGAUAUCAGGAGGAACACCGGUGGCGAAGGCGGCCCUCUGGACGGAUACUGACGCUGAGACGCGAAAGCGUGGGGAGCAAACAGG